UGUGGAGCAGCCGGCCUGGCCGUGGCUGCUCUCCUGGAGCUGGGUUUCUCCCUCUCCUGUAUCCCGUAGUCCUGGGAUGUUCAUCAGGGAGGGGCUGGCCCUGGCAGCCCCGCUGGCUUUGGGGUGUGACUGCGGCAGAGCCGGUGGCACCCAGUGCUGAGCAGCCCUGGCACUGCCCCUGGGCUACCUCUCAGUCCUGCUCCAGCCCCGGAGCAUGGGCUGGAGGACAAGGAAAUGGCCAGAGAGAUUUUCUCACUUCUCUCCCUGCUCAUGCUGGGGAGCGAGUGCGUGAAGGUGCCACCCCGGGCUGUGACAGGGUUGUGCAAUGUUGCCUCAGCUCAACUUUGGUGCGAAUUCCAGGCCCAGGACUGGCCUGACCCCGCUGCGCUGGGGGUCAGCCACCUCUGUGUGCACAGCUGAGAGCACCCUGGUGGCACGGGGCAGUGCCAGCAGCACGGCCAGGACAGAGCUGGCGCUCCAGAGCUCCGGGGGCAGGAUGGGUUUGCCAAGGGCUUGCGCUGAGCUGCCUCUUCCACAGCAGCAGGUUCAGGCAGAACCCGCCUGGAAAAAAUCCAGGGUGUCUCCGUGUCUGGCAGCCCAGGAGGAGUACGGUUAAAGAUGCUGACGCCUUUUCAGUGCUCAAAGGACGAGGGAACGGUGCAGGAGGCAGCAGAGAUACUGAGCCCGUGCCAGCUGCUGGGUCACCGUGCCGGAGCCGAGGGCACAGCGUGAGAAUCCGUGACCCUGGGUGGGAGUUUGUGGCCCCGGGGCUCUGGCUGGCUCCGAUGCGGCAGAUGGGCUCCAGCCAGCGCUGGACGAGCCUCGGCCAGCCAAAGCUUCAGGUGGAGCACGGCACGGGGUGGCGGUGCCCCGGAGCUUGGGAUGUCCCCCGAGAGCAGCGUCGCGUUUCCCUAGCCCCGCCUUCGAGCCUUGGCUUCGGCCU
This is a long non-coding RNA of Hirundo rustica (Barn swallow), 943 nucleotides long. RefSeq lists it as uncharacterized. The record is from RefSeq and is a predicted model, not a curated record. NCBI's taxonomy places the organism in Eukaryota, Metazoa, Chordata, Aves, Passeriformes, Hirundinidae. The transcript is spliced from 3 exons.